Paramuricea clavata is the source of this 355-nucleotide non-coding RNA. NCBI's taxonomy places the organism in Eukaryota, Metazoa, Cnidaria, Anthozoa, Malacalcyonacea, Plexauridae. The record is from the annotation of a GenBank genome assembly.
CAAAUUGUAGAAUAAAUCCUAAAGUUUAAUUAUUGUGAACACGAAAAUUUUUUAUAUUUGGCGACAUAGUUUUUUUUAAAGAAAUGUAUCUCAAACGAAAAUUCGGAAAUUGUCGUUGCUUAGUUGAUAAACAAAAUGUUUCAGACGAUAAAUUUGUCAACAAUCACCUUUAGUUCACGUUCUUGUACAAUACAAUUUCUUGAACCUUCUGGCUGUAUUUAUUCCUAGUUUUUAGAAUGACAUGUUUAUUUUUACGCUCGAAAUCUGGCUGUAAAGACACACAAUGAAGUCACUCCUUUUUACCGCCAUUUUGAGCUUUCGAAAACGUUCGGAACAGCUUCUCAUCAAGUUCGCA